Molecule: ribosomal RNA, 497 nt
Filed under: uncultured bacterium
Lineage: Bacteria
Description: partial 16S ribosomal RNA
Rfam family: Bacterial small subunit ribosomal RNA
Source: RNAcentral
GACGAACGCUGGCGGCGUGCCUAAUACAUGCAAGUUGAGCGCUGAAGGUUGGUACUUGUACCAACUGGAUGAGCAGCGAACGGGUGAGUAACGCGUGGGGAAUCUGCCUUUGAGCGGGGGACAACAUUUGGAAACGAAUGCUAAUACCGCAUAAAAACUUUAAACACAAGUUUUAAGUUUGAAAGAUGCAAUUGCAUCACUCAAAGAUGAUCCCGCGUUGUAUUAGCUAGUUGGUGAGGUAAAGGCUCACCAAGGCGAUGAUACAUAGCCGACCUGAGAGGGUGAUCGGCCACAUUGGGACUGAGACACGGCCCAAACUCCUACGGGAGGCAGCAGUAGGGAAUCUUCGGCAAUGGACGAAAGUCUGACCGAGCAACGCCGCGUGAGUGAAGAAGGUUUUCGGAUCGUAAAACUCUGUUGGUAGAGAAGAACGUUGGUGAGAGUGGAAAGCUCAUCAAGUGACGGUAACUACCCAGAAAGGGACGGCUAACAACGUG